RNAcentral lists this ribosomal RNA (504 nucleotides) under uncultured bacterium. Its description in RNAcentral is "bacterial SSU rRNA". It matches the Rfam family "Bacterial small subunit ribosomal RNA", at positions 8 to 507 of the family's 1533-position model. The record is from RNAcentral.
AGAGUUUGAUCCUGGCUCAGGAUGAACGCUAGCGGCAGGCUUAAUACAUGCAAGUCGAACGGGAUUCGGGGUAGCAAUACUUUGAUGAGAGUGGCGCACGGGUGCGUAACGCGUAUGCAACCUACCUUUAACAGGUGAAUAGCCCCGAGAAAUCGGGAUUAAUACACCGUAACAUUGCGCUGUGGCAUCACAGUGCAAUUAAAGAUUUAUCGGUUAAAGAUGGGCAUGCGUGACAUUAGCUAGUUGGUGAGGUAACGGCUCACCAAGGCAACGAUGUCUAGGGGUCCUGAGAGGGUUAUCCCCCACACUGGUACUGAGACACGGACCAGACUCCUACGGGAGGCAGCAGUAAGGAAUAUUGGUCAAUGGGCGCAAGCCUGAACCAGCCAUGCCGCGUGCAGGAAGACGGCCCUAUGGGUUGUAAACUGCUUUUGUCAGGGAAUAAACCUCCGAACGUGUUCGGAGCUGACGGUACCAUAAGAAUAAGCAUCGGCUAACUCCGUG